UACGAAGGGGGCUAGCGUUGUUCGGAAUCACUGGGCGUAAAGCGCACGUAGGCGGAUCUUUAAGUCAGGGGUGAAAUCCCGAGGCUCAACCUCGGAACUGCCUUUGAUACUGGGGAUCUCGAGUCCGGGAGAGGUGAGUGGAACUGCGAGUGUAGAGGUGAAAUUCGUAGAUAUUCGCAAGGACACCAGUGGCGAAGGCGGCUCACUGGCCCGGAACUGACGCUGAGGUGCGAAAGCGUGGGGAGCGAACAGG
Molecule: ribosomal RNA, 253 nt
Filed under: uncultured bacterium
Lineage: Bacteria
Description: partial 16S ribosomal RNA
Rfam family: Bacterial small subunit ribosomal RNA
Source: RNAcentral